UCUCUCUCAAUUUCUUCGUAAUCUCUUUCAUUUGUUCUUAAGCAUGUCGAAAUCCACUUUCUCUUCAAAGAACUCAUAGCUCCGGAAAUCAAAUCUUUCAAUUAUUUUGAGUUUAAUACUUCAACCUUGCCUGAGUUGCCCUCUCUUUAUACUCAAGUAUGCAAAGUAAGUGAAAUUGGUGAGUCAACUACUCCACAAUCGAAGUUUUACUCCCGUACAACCCCGUGUUGAGAAGCUGUCAAAGUAUAAUAUCUCAGGUCAUUCGAGAUUUCGAAGAAAUCCUAAAAAGUGAACAACAAUUGUAUUUUGAAUUUGUACACAAAGUACUCUGAUUUUUUCAGCAGACUUGUUUCUCAUGGAGUUGUUAGACAAAAAUGAAUCCAUGAAUUUUCCUGGGAAUAUACUGGAGUAUAUCCACUAGGUUAUGACAGCCAAAGAUAGUUGUCAUGUUAUUGCCUAUGGAUAUUUGUUAAACCUAGUCUUCAAACAUUUCAAUAUGCCCCUUGACAAAGGAGUUGCUGGAAUAAUAAAAUAGGCACUCUCCAUGUCUACCUUGAGUGAGGGUAAAUUCAUUGGGGAAAGGUGAAGUCUAAGUCUCAAGUCUCCGAGCUUCUUCAACAACAAGAGUAUUACUCUAAGUCUCAAGUCUCCGAGCUUCUUCAACAACAAGAAGUGUUAAAUACGGAAAUGAAAGAUCUUAUUACCCAAUUGUCUGAAAAAGAAUAGGAGAUUAUGAGGCUUGAAGGAACAAUCUCAGGGACCAGGUCCAAGUACAUGUGGGCAGGAUAAUGUUAAAACACUGAAGGCUCACAUUAUUAAGUUGGUUGAAUCAAAUGCCAAAUUAAAUGAUGAGGGAAAAGAGAAGGUCUCAGCAUUUCAACAGCAACUGUAUUAUUUGGAGCAUUAUCUAAGAUCAUGAUUUUCCUCCCUUGAGUAAAAUGAAGACGAAUGACGGAUGCAGUCAUGCGACAUUCACUUGAAACUGCUUGUCUUAUGCUUGUACGGAUAGUGGUGAGAGCCGUAGAGCACGUGCUGUCAUAGAAUGUGGAAGAAAGUUGUGCAUGACAUUGCAUGCUAGAGAGUAAGAGAAGAGAAAAUAUAGCAACAAAAGAAUUGUUUAAAGUAGUCAUCAUUUGGAAAGUGUGUAUAAUGUAUGAUACCAAAAAGUAACAAUAUAUGUUAAAGGUGAUAGAAGAAGAAAUGUGCUACUCAAAUAUUUAUAGGCAAAUCGAAGUGUUUUUUUGGUCACUAUUGGCUGCCAAUUGCAAAAUUAAUAUUCCGCGUUA
This is a long non-coding RNA of Solanum pennellii, 1286 nucleotides long. RefSeq lists it as uncharacterized. NCBI's taxonomy places the organism in Eukaryota, Viridiplantae, Streptophyta, Magnoliopsida, Solanales, Solanaceae. The record is from RefSeq and is a predicted model, not a curated record. The transcript is spliced from 3 exons.